GUAACACGUAAAGAACCUGCCCUCAGGUCUGGGAUAACCACGAGAAAUCGGGGCUAAUACCGGAUGGGUCAUCGGACCGCAUGGUCCGAGGAUGAAAGGCGCUUCGGCGUCGCCUGGGGAUGGCUUUGCGGUGCAUUAGCUAGUUGGUGGGGUAAUGGCCCACCAAGGCGACGAUGCAUAGCCGACCUGAGAGGGUGAUCGGCCACACUGGGACUGAGACACGGCCCAGACUCCUACGGGAGGCAGCAGUAGGGAAUCUUCCACAAUGGACGAAAGUCUGAUGGAGCAACGCCGCGUGAACGAUGAAGGCCUUCGGGUCGUAAAGUUCUGUUGUAAGGGAAGAACAAGUGCCGCAGGCAAUGGCGGCACCUUGACGGUACCUUGCGAGAAAGCCACGGCUAACUACGUGCCAGCAGCCGCGGUAAUACGUAGGUGGCAAGCGUUGUCCGGAAUUAUUGGGCGUAAAGCGCGCGCAGGCGGCCUCUUAAGUCUGAUGUGAAAGCCCCCGGCUCAACCGGGGAGGGCCAUUGGAAACUGGGAGGCUUGAGUAUAGGAGAGAAGAGUGGAAUUCCACGUGUAGCGGUGAAAUGCGUAGAGAUGUGGAGGAACACCAGUGGCGGAGGCGACUCUUUGGCCUAUAACUGACGCUGAGGCG
This 655-nucleotide ribosomal RNA is filed under the name uncultured bacterium. RNAcentral's name for it is "bacterial SSU rRNA". It matches the Rfam family "Bacterial small subunit ribosomal RNA", at positions 110 to 753 of the family's 1533-position model. The record is from RNAcentral.